This 247-nucleotide long non-coding RNA is filed under the name Ananas comosus (pineapple). Its description in RNAcentral is "long non-coding RNA (ACOM_LNC004557)". The record is from RNAcentral. Lineage: Eukaryota; Viridiplantae; Streptophyta; Magnoliopsida; Poales; Bromeliaceae.
AUAUAAAUAAAAAUUAUUUAUUUGAAGAAUAAAUAUAAAUGUAGAGAUAAAUAAAAAUUAAAUUAAUUUUAUAUUUAGAUAAAAAUUGAAUUAUUUUUCAGAAUAAAAAAAAAUAAUGUUUCGAUAGAUAAGAUAAAAUUAACACUUCAGAAGAAAAAAAGAGAAAUAGAGAACGAUUCGUCCUUCUUCUUUUCUAUCCGUUUGGAUGGAAGGAAAAGAAAAAAAAAGUUUGGAUGAAAAUUUGGUG